UACGUAUGGUGCAAGCGUUAUCCGGAUUUACUGGGUGUAAAGGGAGCGUAGACGGCUGUGCAAGUCUGAAGUGAAAGGCCGGGGCCCAACCCCGGGAGUGCUUUGGAAACUGUGCGGCUAGAGUGUCGGAGAGGCAAGUGGAAUUCCCAGUGUAGCGGUGAAAUGCGUAGAUAUUGGGAGGAACACCAGUGGCGAAGGCGUCUUGCUGGACGAUGACUGACGUUGAGGCUCGAAAGUGUGGGGAGCAAACAGG
This 253-nucleotide ribosomal RNA is filed under the name uncultured bacterium. Its description in RNAcentral is "partial 16S ribosomal RNA". It matches the Rfam family "Bacterial small subunit ribosomal RNA", at positions 524 to 776 of the family's 1533-position model. The record is from RNAcentral.